Molecule: unclassified non-coding RNA, 613 nt
Filed under: Aspergillus terreus
Lineage: Eukaryota; Fungi; Ascomycota; Eurotiomycetes; Eurotiales; Aspergillaceae
Description: sequence contains 18S rRNA gene, ITS1, 5.8S rRNA gene, ITS2, 28S rRNA gene
Rfam family: 5.8S ribosomal RNA (bases 231-384)
Source: RNAcentral
UCGUAACAAGGUUUCCGUAGGUGAACCUGCGGAAGGAUCAUUACCGAGUGCGGGUCUUUAUGGCCCAACCUCCCACCCGUGACUAUUGUACCUUGUUGCUUCGGCGGGCCCGCCAGCGUUGCUGGCCGCCGGGGGGCGACUCGCCCCCGGGCCCGUGCCCGCCGGAGACCCCAACAUGAACCCUGUUCUGAAAGCUUGCAGUCUGAGUGUGAUUCUUUGCAAUCAGUUAAAACUUUCAACAAUGGAUCUCUUGGUUCCGGCAUCGAUGAAGAACGCAGCGAAAUGCGAUAACUAAUGUGAAUUGCAGAAUUCAGUGAAUCAUCGAGUCUUUGAACGCACAUUGCGCCCCCUGGUAUUCCGGGGGGCAUGCCUGUCCGAGCGUCAUUGCUGCCCUCAAGCCCGGCUUGUGUGUUGGGCCCUCGUCCCCCGGGAGCCGGGGGACGGGCCCGAAAGGCAGCGGCGGCACCGCGUCCGGUCCUCGAGCGUAUGGGGCUUCGUCUUCCGCUCCGUAGGCCCGGCCGGCGCCCGCCGACGCAUUUAUUUGCAACUUGUUUUUUUCCAGGUUGACCUCGGAUCAGGUAGGGAUACCCGCUGAACUUAAGCAUAUCAAUAA